GUUAAAAUUAAAUUAAAAUUUGGGACACCCCAAAAAGUUAUAAAAGGUUUAUCUGGGAUUAUCUUGGCCAAUUCGUUAUCUUUUUUUUAGCAUAUGCCAAAUCUUCUGACAGUCUAAGUACGGAUUUAUUUUCAAAACCCAAUGACUCUAAUAGCCUGAAGUUUUCAUCCUUUUGAACAGCUUCGUUCCAUCCCAUACAGUCAAUUUCUUAGAGUUCACAGAAUCGUCAGUAAUGAAACACUGUUGGACAUAACGCCUUACACAUAUGUCACAGAAUUUCAUUGAGAUAGGUUACAACCCACGACUUCUUCAGAUUUCCAAACAAAAAGUGGAAGCUAUGAACAGAGAAGGCUUGCUCUCCUCCACACCCAAGACCAAAUCCAAUAGAAUUCCAUACACAAGUAUAUACUCACCACUUUCUUCCCAAAUUCAGGACAUUGUAUGUAAAAAUUGGCAUAUUUUGCAGCUUGAUAGGCAGAUUGGCCAUCUGUUCACAGAUCCAUCUAUAUUCACACUUAAGAGGAACAUGGUAGUUAACGCAGACAGCUUUACACCAAGUAAACAAACAUUUUUGUCAAAACCCACUUAUGAUACUUACCCCUGCCUUUCAUGCAAAAAAGGCACAUGGAUCAUCAAGAG
Molecule: non-coding RNA, 639 nt
Organism: Pelobates cultripes (western spadefoot toad)
Lineage: Eukaryota; Metazoa; Chordata; Amphibia; Anura; Pelobatidae
Source: the annotation of a GenBank genome assembly